This 533-nucleotide ribosomal RNA is filed under the name uncultured Pseudomonadota bacterium. RNAcentral's name for it is "bacterial SSU rRNA". It matches the Rfam family "Bacterial small subunit ribosomal RNA", at positions 8 to 522 of the family's 1533-position model. The record is from RNAcentral. Lineage: Bacteria; Pseudomonadati; Pseudomonadota.
AGAGUUUGAUCAUGGCUCAGAGCGAACGUUAGCGGCGGGCCUAACACAUGCAAGUCGAGCGAGAAAGGGGCUUCGGCCCUGAGUAAAGCGGCGGACGGGUGAGUAACACGUAGGUAAUCUUCCUUCGAGCGGGGGACAACGAGCCGAAAGGCUCGCUAAUACCGCAUACGUUUCCUAGGACUCCGGUCCCGGGAAGGAAAGCUAGGUAGCAAUAUCCGGCACUCGAUGAGGAGCCUGCGUCGCAUCAGCUAGUUGGUGGGGUAACGGCCUACCAAGGCGAAGACGCGUAGCUGGUCUGAGAGGAUGAUCAGCCACACUGGGACUGAGACACGGCCCAGACUCCUACGGGAGGCAGCAGUGGGGAAUAUUGGACAAUGGGCGCAAGCCUGAUCCAGCCACGCCGCGUGAGUGAUGAAGGCCUUCGGGUCGUAAAGCUCUGUGGGGAGGGACGAACCGCUGCACGUGAAUAUCGUGCAGCAUGACGGUACCUCCUUAGCAAGCACCGGCUACUUUCGUGCCAGCAGCCCGGGGUA